This 540-nucleotide long non-coding RNA is filed under the name Anolis carolinensis (green anole). Its description in RNAcentral is "lncRNA (ENSACAG00000042451.1)". The record is from RNAcentral. Lineage: Eukaryota; Metazoa; Chordata; Lepidosauria; Squamata; Anolidae.
AAUGGGGAAAUCAUUUCCACAAAACCAUUGACUCAUUUCCAGACUCUUUUUAACAGAGAACUUGGUAGGUCUACUGGGACUCAAUAGUCAUUUCCAGUUCAUUUGGUUCUUUAGUUGUCUGCAGCUGCAGACAUGUGGAUGAAGAGUUACAGCUGAGGGUGAUAUCAUACCAUUUGACUGCUGUGCCAAGCCAGGUGUUUUCUGAUAGCUGCACUGAAAUAUGUCAUCUGCCUGAUCAGCCCCUUAUGCUGAGGUGUCCUGAUCAUUGCUCUGCCCUUCAUCAAUACAGAAGAAGAAAAAUUGCUCUUAAGCUGAGGACAAAAAGACACAGAGGGAGAGCAGAGAGAACUCGGGAUAUUUCAAAAGCAGCAGAAAGGUAGGAUAACAGAAGACUAAUGGGGACUGUUCCUGUCAAAUGUGGACUGUUGGAAGGUACACUAUAUGUUUUCCUAUCUUAACAUACCAAGGCUUUCCUCUUUCAAGGUCGGGUCCUCCUACCUUGCUGGCUGAGGAAAAGGAUAAGAUGUCUCUCUUCCACUG